This is a long non-coding RNA of Cygnus olor (mute swan), 2610 nucleotides long. RefSeq lists it as uncharacterized. The transcript is spliced from 4 exons. The record is from RefSeq and is a predicted model, not a curated record. Lineage: Eukaryota; Metazoa; Chordata; Aves; Anseriformes; Anatidae.
UUUGCAUAGUGUGUCCUCACUUCUGCAUGCUUUGAACUUGCCCUUGGGCUGGGUUAGGCUGUUGGCUGAAGCUUGAGCUGGACAGUGCCUGCACCAGGUGGUUUGGGUGCUCUUCAUAAUGCUGCAGAAGGGAGCAGAGCCCAGCAAGGCAGUGCUGUCCGUGUGCUGCUGGCUGCUUGUGUGCGUGGGUGGCACACCUGGUGCCUCAAGUCAAAGCACACCUGCACAAUUCCCUUUCUCCUGCUGCUAUCCAAAGGAAACUCCUGCCCAGCGGUGACCAGAGCUCUCCAUUUCCAUACAGCAAUGCAGGGACUGGACCAGGGUGCUGAGCAGGAUGGUCAUCAUCCAGAAGUGCGAUUUCCCCGAACCUUGAGAGGCUCAGAGGUGAUGACUUCAGCUCAGAAAAGAGGUGUGCACACAGCAGAAACUGAUGGUUGGACCAAGAAGAAUAAUGCUUCAAAAGCUGACCUACUGCUGCCGGGGUGUUUUCACGCUGCCCCAGCCAAACAGAAUAACAGUCUGAGUCUGCCCUGCUCAUCAGAGCGUUGUGUGCUUUAAAGCACCCUAAAGAUGUUUCCAAAAAAGAACUUGGAAAGUAGAAGAAAAUUCUCAGUGCAGCACCAGGCAUCCCAGACUCUUCAGGAGAUUUAGGGUGAGGGCUGCAGAGCUUUCCUUAGGAGACAAGAGAGAGUAAUUUGCUCAGACUCACUAAAUGAGAGCUGCAAGGGAGCGAUUGCUUCCUAUAAAUAUUUUCAAGUGGCAAAGGGCGCUGCUGACAGAGCUAUGGGAUGUAGGUUGGUGACGAAUAAAUUUAGGCUGGAAAUUUGGGAGACUCCUAAACACCAGAGCAGUCAUGCUCUGGAAGAGUUUUGUGACGGGUACAAGGAGUCAAGAGUCAGAUGUCCUAAGACAGAUCGAUGCCCUGAAAAGGGCCCUGUAACAAAGUAUUCCCCUUUGGGAUAUAGGGUGGCUCUACUCGGUGGUCCAAAUGAUCCCCACUGAGAGCUUUACAUUUUGUUGAAGCUGUCUCGUUUGCCCUUGAAGUGUGUUGUGCACACCUGGGAAGCUUUGACCCUACUGCCAUUAGCCCCCUGAGCAGGCUGCUGUGCCCUCCAGCAAUACAGGUAACUCCAGACUCCUCCUGAACUGUGGUAGGGAAUAGGAUUAUUUUUGAGGCGGAGCAGUCAUUCCUAAGGGUGGCAGCAAGCCUCAUCUGGGCCAUCCAUGCUCCUUCAGGUGUGGCGUAGAGGCAGAACGUUUGCAAGUCUGCAACAGAUCUCUGCCACGUCUCCAGCCCUGUUGUGGUUCUGUCCCUGUGUUGCCUGUGCUCUCUGUGGCUUUGCAUGGGGUGGGUGACAGAAGCGCCAUAGGAGGUCCAGAUCCCUGUCUGGACAUGUGCAUAUUCUCCAUUUUCUGGACUGAAGUCACCAGUGUCCUGUUCUUCCAAGCUUUGAGCAGCACUUCUGCAUCUUCACAGCCUCUGCUGCUGCCCCACAGCCCUGCCCGGUGCUGCUGAUGCCGUUCUGCCUCCUAACAGCUCCCGGAGUCUCCGGCACUUGCCUUCAGCCCUGGCACACAGCCCAGCCUGGUAACUUCAUUAAAGCAUCUCCGCUGCGGUCAGGCCUCUGGGGCUCUGCUUCCAAAAACUUUGGGAAUGGACCAGAGCUGGGGAACCUACCGGUUAUUAAGAAUCUGUCUUCUGGAAGAGUAGCGAAGGGAUUUGGGAGCCUCACAUCACUUUACUGAGUAUAAACUGUGCAGCACUCAGACUGGUGCACAUCACGGGUACUUUUAGUGUCAGGGCUCUCAGGAGGAUGCAUCCCUGACAGCCCAGCUGCUGUAGGAGUCAAGAAAGUCAGACUGCAGAUGGACAAGUGUCUUUUUUCCACCUCUCGUGCAAAUGAAGCAUCCAGGGCCACCUCAUAAAAGUAUCAAUGUCGUUCACGUGCUCCCAGGUGAAUAAAGCUACAUAACACGUCAUCAGCGAAAUACAGCUUCUGGAGGGGAGGGGGAAGGUAAAUAGAUACUCAGAAAGCGUUGGCAUGAGUACUGCCAGACCUUGUUUUAGUUUCUGUGGCUCAGCUCAGGGCUGUCCCCAGCCACAUCCCAGGGUGGGGGGAGAUGCUUUGCAAACCAGGCUGCGUGCGUGGAGUAGUAUGGUCAAAUCGCACAGGGGGCAACGUACAGGAGGUGGGAAUGGCUUUGUGCACCUCCACGUGCUGCUGGUUGGAGCAGCCUUGAGACAGGGUGAGGUUUUGUCAACCACAAACAGUCCUAAAGGGAAGAAACCAGUCCCUGCCUUCCUUGUGGCUGUGCCCAACAAGGGAUCAGUGCUGCAAGCAAAACUCCUGGGUUUCUACUCCUGUAAGUGGAUAAAUCAACCUGGGGUGUUGUGUGUGGUGAGGGGCAGAGCAGCUGGAGCCUACAGGGAACUGGAUUUGGCCGAUUCGGGCAUGGAGGUGACGCUGGGAAAGGCCCAGCCUUCACUCAGCACGUUUCUGCCUUAAUCCUGUUUUGUGCUGUGGCCCAACAGCCCUGCUGCUGCAGACAGCAACCUCCUGCCUCCACGCUCCCUCCAGCAGCGGGGCUUCUCCAUCCUCAUCCUCACUC